CCUACGGGUUGCAGCAGUGAGGAAUAUUGGUCAAUGGGCUGGAGCCUGACCCAGCCAAGUAGCGUGAAGUAUGACUGCCCUACGGGUUGUAAACUUCUUUUAUAAAGGAAUAAAGUGAGUCACGUGUGCCUUUUUGUAUGUACUUUAUGAAUAAGGAUAGGAUAACUCCGUGACAGCAGCCGCGGUAAUACGGAGGAUCCGAGCGUUAUCCGGAUUUAUGUGGUUUAAAGGUAGCGUAGAUGGGUUGUUAAGUCAGUUGUGAAAGUGUGCGGCUCAACCGUAAAAGUGCAAUUGAAACUGGCAGUCUUGAGUACAGUGGAGGUAGGCAGAAUUCGUAGUGUAGCGGUGAAAUGCUUAGAUAUCACGAAGAACUCCGAUUGCGAAGGCAGCUUACUAAACUGCCACUGACAUUGAUGCUCGAAAGUGUGGGUAUCAAACAGGAUUAGAUACCCUAGUAGUC
Molecule: ribosomal RNA, 460 nt
Filed under: uncultured bacterium
Lineage: Bacteria
Description: partial 16S ribosomal RNA
Rfam family: Bacterial small subunit ribosomal RNA
Source: RNAcentral